CUUUCUCUCCCCUUAUUCCCCGAACCCUAGCCCUCUUCUCCUUCCUCUCCUACUCUCUUUCCACAGCCACCACCGCUUCCCUCUCUUCCGCUCACUCCCGCUAUUAUCUCUCUCUCUCUCAUUAACCGGCUCCGCCCCUUGCCGGCGCCAUCACCUCCACGAGCAAGCUCUCUCUCUCUCUCUCUCUCUCUCUCUGAUCUCGGAGGACUGAAAGAAGGCAAAGAACCUUCAGUUUCAGUUCUCAGUUACCUACAUUCAGAAACUGGAGAUGGGAUCUGGUGCUGGAAGUUUCCUCAAAGUUCUCCUUAAAAACUUCGAUGUUCUUGCUGGGCCUGUGGUUAGUUUGGUUUAGCCACUGUAUGCCUCAAUUCGGUUUAUAGAGACCAAAUCACCAACUGAUGAUCGCCAAUGGCUUACGUAUUGGAUUCUCUACUUUAUGAUUACACUCUUUGAGCUCACUUUUGCCAAACUUAUUGAGUGAUCAUAAUACGUACCUGAUUGGAGAUGAUGAGCACUGCUACAGUGACAAUCAUGUGUCAAACAUUGAAGGCGGUUGCUAUGCUAAGUGCAUUGAUUUGUCAAAAGACAAGCAACCAGAUAUUUGGAAUUCUAUCAAAUUUGAGACUAGUAAAAAGAUGAUACUAUGGACCAUUUUUCUUUAAAAAGAUGAAUUCUUGAUAUCUGACCUACAAGAUUAUUAAAACCAAACCUCACAGAUCAAUAUAGAUGGGUCGUGUUAUUACCUUUUUAUGUAUGUAGAGUGCAGCUUUCUUCUAAAGCCUGAAUUCUUUGUCUGACAUUUCCAUUUACUUUAUUGUGCAGGCCAAAUAAAGGAGGUCCUUCAAAGCUACACUCAAAGUUCAUUUGAUUAACCCUUCAGUCAAGGUUCUGUUGUGUGUCUUGGACUAUUUGGCUUUGGUCAAAGGAGUUUUGUGAUAAGCAAAUUAUAAUUUGAAAACAGGUCUUUCAACAUGACAUGUCUUUUGGUGAGGAAUGUUACAAGCGAGGAUGUUAGUUAUUACCACACAUAUGAUUCAAAAGUUUUGGUCACUAGUUUUGUGUAUAACUCUUUAAGUUCAACAAGAAGCUUAGUAGUUUUAGGUAUUUUGAUGCUUAUAAUUUUGCAAAACCUUUGGUGUUACAAUUGUGAUUGUUGGUUUGUAAUUGAAAUGAGUUCAUAUUGGUAUCUUACCAAUUUUCAAUUUAUAAAGAACAUGAUGU
RNAcentral lists this long non-coding RNA (1221 nucleotides) under Rosa chinensis. RNAcentral's name for it is "sRNA RchiOBHm_Chr7g0215381". The record is from RNAcentral. Lineage: Eukaryota; Viridiplantae; Streptophyta; Magnoliopsida; Rosales; Rosaceae.